RNAcentral lists this transfer RNA (70 nucleotides) under Methanosarcina mazei Tuc01. RNAcentral describes it as "tRNA-Phe (GAA) (tRNA-Phe-GAA-1-1)". It matches the Rfam family "tRNA". From Rfam's summary of the family: Transfer RNA (tRNA) molecules are approximately 80 nucleotides in length. Their secondary structure includes four short double-helical elements and three loops (D, anti-codon, and T loops). The record is from RNAcentral. Lineage: Archaea; Methanobacteriati; Methanobacteriota; Methanomicrobia; Methanosarcinales; Methanosarcinaceae.
AGGUAGCUCAGUGGGAGAGCGCUGCCCUGAAGAGGCAGUUGUCCCCGGUUCGAAUCCCCCGGCUGGUGUA